CCCCGGCAUGCACGGAACGUCCGCCGCCCGCUGCGUCACCGGCUGCGCUGCGUCCUGCACUCUGCUCCACCGUGGGCUCCUGCCCACCGCAGCAGCAAAGGAAGCCUUUGGGGUGAGGCGGCCGCCGUGCCUUUCGCGUUGCUCGUCGCGGGAACCCGACGCAGCCCUCGCUGAAGAAAAGCUUUUGUCAAUUUGUGUGACGCUG
RNAcentral lists this long non-coding RNA (205 nucleotides) under Setaria viridis. RNAcentral describes it as "long non-coding RNA (SVIR_LNC011075)". Lineage: Eukaryota; Viridiplantae; Streptophyta; Magnoliopsida; Poales; Poaceae. The record is from RNAcentral.